GGACCUUUCNACGGUUUCUGUGUCGUAGCUAACGCAUUAAGCGCCCCGCCUGGGGAGUACGGCCGCAAGGCUAAAACUCAAAGGAAUUGACGGGGGCCCGCACAAGCGGCGGAGCAUGCGGAUUAAUUCGAUGCAACGCGAAGAACCUUACCAAGGCUUGACAUACACCGGAAACGGCCAGAGAUGGUCGCCCCCUUGUGGUCGGUGUACAGGUGGUGCAUGGUUGUCGUCAGCUCGUGUCGUGAGAUGUUGGGUUAAGUCCCGCAACGAGCGCAACCCUCGUUCUAUGUUGCCAGCNGGUUAUGCCGGGGACUCAUAAGAGACUGCCGGGGUCAACUCGGAGGAAGGUGGGGAUGANNUNNAAUCAUCAUGCCCCUUAUGUCUUGGGCUUCACNCANGCUACAAUGGCCGGUACAAAGGGCUGCGAUACCNUAAGGUGGAGCGAAUCCCAAAAANCCGGUCUCNNUUCNGAUUGAGGUCNGCAACUCNAC
RNAcentral lists this ribosomal RNA (491 nucleotides) under Curtobacterium sp. RNAcentral's name for it is "partial 16S ribosomal RNA". It matches the Rfam family "Bacterial small subunit ribosomal RNA", at positions 826 to 1316 of the family's 1533-position model. Lineage: Bacteria; Bacillati; Actinomycetota; Actinomycetes; Micrococcales; Microbacteriaceae. The record is from RNAcentral.